Molecule: long non-coding RNA, 5077 nt
Organism: Zootermopsis nevadensis
Lineage: Eukaryota; Metazoa; Arthropoda; Insecta; Blattodea; Termopsidae
Source: RefSeq, a predicted model, not a curated record
ACCCUAUGACUGUUCCUUGAUUGUCUCUGAAGACGUUCCAGCCACUGAUCAUAAUUUCGUGCUCCUUCAGUUUUCAAAAUGUCCUUCCUUAUUUGAAUUUCGUCCACUCUUCGUUAAUUUUCUUUCUUUCGUUCUUUAUAUUUCUCCCAAGUAAAGGUUAGCUACGUAGUUCUCAGAAUCGCAUAGUCUCGCCUGUAGAACAACCUAAUUUAAAUAAUGAGCAGACCCUAAACUCCAACUAUUCAGUGAUUAAUUUGAAAGAAAAUCUACCUCUAAAGUUUGCGCUGAUAAUGUUUAUAUUGUUUAAGAAACGCAAUGAUUGGAAUAUACAAAGCCGUCGGUCAACCUGCCAAGGAAUUGAAUAAUAAUAUGCUAAAAUAUACGCAGAUCCUCUAACAUCAACAUUUCACAUCCUCCAUGGCACAGCAUACUGAAAUCAAUGCAAAGAAAUGAUUUACAUUUGUUUCCACUUGCGUCCAAUAACUUACGGUGAUAAACUGUUUACAUAAAUGUUUAGCACAAAUAGCACGUUUAUAACCAGGGCCGAUUUAAGGGGUAUCGAACAGUGUAUUUGCCCAGGGGCCUCCAAAAACCCAAAUAUUUUUUUGCGGAAAAAUGCGUCCAGACAAUUAUCGCCAGAAACCGAUCACGUGGUACUUAUAUAUAUUUAAUUAUAGUUUAUUUAACAUAAUUGCAAUUUAACCUAAUUUAUUGUCACUGAUUGGGAGCCUCCAUAUUUUGAGUGUCUCGGGGUCCCCCACAACAGAAAAUCUGGCAUAGUUAAUAACCUUGUAUGCCCGUGGUAGGCUGUGGUACUCUGUUUUAUCUCUUUUAGUAUGUAAUGACUGUAGGUAGUACAGAGAUGUAUAUCGGAUUAAUUUAUCCCCACACCUGUUUGAUAGUAGGUAUGUUUCAUCCACCUUCAUAACGAGUGUAAUAUAAAUCUAAAUAAUAUAUGUUCCGUGUAAAACCAGACCCGUUAUCGAGAUGUGUUAAAAAUUGCGGAAAAUAUAAUGCAAGAUAUUCAAAUAUUUAUGAAAACUGCUUUAAGCUACGAGGCUAACUGCGAAAGCAGAAAAUUUUAAGAACAAAAUUAUCCUUUAAGGGCUUUGGUUUAUUAGAUUUCUGACAAACUAUUUAGAAAUUUAUUUCCAAGGUGUUAAAGUCAGAUAGCGCAUGUCUUAACCUGGUAUGUCAUCUACUACAGGUAAUGGUCAUUUGAUUCUUGCUCACUGCUAAUUUUCAUACCAAUGUCCUCUUCAGAUGAGGCUUAAUGUCAAUCUUAAUACAAUAACCAGUAUUAAGAGUAACUGUAUACGUGCCUGUAAUUUACCGAAGCUUAAAUUCUGAUUCAUGUUGUAUUAUGUAUUCAAUACAAUAAGUAAGCAAGAACAACUAUUAAUUACCUAAUUAUUGCGAAAUUCCAGCGAUGUAGACAGGUAGCGUUUGUGAAAGAAUACAACCGAUAUUUUUUCCAUGACACGAACAAUGAAUUAGAUUUAUUAAUUGUAAGCGAUUCUCCGUCUAAUUGUACUGAUUCCGAUCUUGAAUAUUCUAGAAUUUAAUUUAUACUCAGUCGUCGUGCUGUUGGCUAUCGCUCGAUUGUUUUGGAAAGAGAACUGCACCAGAACAAGAUUCCUAAGAGUUAUCCUAUAUAUUCUACAGUUUAAUGGACAACUACUAUAACUCCGAUUCAAGCCAGUCACAAAUGUCACAAUUUAAGUACGAUGCAACUACACAGUCGGCUUUAGCAUAAUAUUCUUUUCUAAGAUAUAUCUUGCUGCUGUAGAAAUGUUGACAUGUUUUUUUGUCCUAGACGGAGACAUCUUAAUGCAUAUUUACGUUCAUCCAUGUGGCAGUAUGUAAAUUGGCUUUAUAUUUGUCCUUAUUAUCAGCUACGACUCUAGAUCGCUCUCCGACUUAAUAAUGACUUACAUUUCCGGCUUAAUAUGUGGUCUCAAAAUUAAAACGGACUGAUUUUAUAAAAUGAAGAUAUUACCACUAAAAUGCAUUUUAUUGCAGAAUUUGGUGUUUUGUUUCUGGUUCAUACUGGAAGACAGAAUUCUCACUUUCUUGCUUUCGAAGUAGGCUCGAAAGUUGCAUCAUAUGCGACAUGUUCUUUUCGGUCUAAUUAUUUUUUUACCAUCAUUUUUAUAAUUUGCUUCAUAGAACAGAGAAAUCUAGUGCUCCAAUUCUGUGUUCACAGGAGUCCAUAACUGAACCUUUAAGUACAAAAUUUUACAUUCUGUAUUUCAAAAUUCAUUCUAAUAUCAGGUCCUCCCAUUUAGACCUUGGUCUUCCAAGUGGUCCAUUACCUUCAGUCUCAACUGAAACAAUUUCUGUGUCGUGUCCUGUUACAGUAGCAUGCAUCCACAGUUAUCACUACUAUUAAUUCGGACACUGACACCGUUAUCGGCGUGUAUCUGUAGAAGCCUAAAUAAUGUUUUCUGGUCGGUCUUACAACUGUACAUUUAAACCCUUGUAUGUCACACAAUAGAAUGCUUGCAGCUAAUUUGGAGAAAAACAUUAAAAAUUGUGAUAAUUUAAAGUGUAUUAGAGGAGCAUAAAAUAAAAAUACUGAACUGAAUGUUAGCAAGGAUUCCCCAAUAUUAAUUUCUAUGUGGAUGAAAUUUUGAGUUGCUACUGUAGUUUAACUUUUCUUAACUUUACCACCAUUCUGAACAGGAAAUGUAUUAGACUAAUAUUUACCUAUGCAGCAGGAACCAUAAUACAUUUAUUGCACAUUUUUUAAUUUGACUGAUAUUUCUCUGCAAUAAAAGUAAUAUUUUUCUAGCCAGGUUUUGACAAACAAAACACUGAAUCAGUGAAAUACACUCUACAACCACAAAUCACACUGAAUCUUAAGCAAGUUUUGGCACAGAACUUCCGAAUUAAGCAGUGACGUGUUCCAAAUCAUCAGAGCUGCCAGUUGCUGCUAGUCCGUAAUUUAAUUGAAAGUCAUUUAUUUAUUGCGUGAAACAUUAAAUACUGAAUUUAUACUUCUAUUAACAGGAAUUAAACACGCAUAUACGAAUCUUAAACCACUUGUUUUACAUUCUCGCAGGUCUUCAGGGAUAAGGAUGAAUUUACAGCAACACCGAAUGAAGACUCUUUUUGUUUUGACAACAGCAUCGCGUGGUAAUUGUGCUACACGGGUCACGUCCCAUGACAAGUACCGUGGCUAACAGUUUACACGCCAAAGAAACCCCCCAGUUACCCGCAUGAUGGAAGUUAGAAGACGCCAAUGUCAGAAAAUAAGGCCUAUUGGUGCAGUGUACUACAGCAGCAAACCAUAACAUAUAGAGAAACCAAAUAAAUGCCGGCUGCUCCUACUUACCGGCUAGCAGCUCACAUCAUCUGCGGGAGCGACUCCUCGUCCACCGAAGAAUCGACGUACUGAGAUCACGGCACCAACUGCCGCCAUUUCGGCCUGUGUCGUAAUAUCAGCCCUAAUAGACAACAUUGUUGUUGGAGUCCUUUUUUAUGGUCAUCUGGAUUCGAAUGGCUAAUACGAACACAAGCAAUAGCACAUUAAUUUCCAGUUUCUGAAUCUGACAGUUUCAAUAAAUACCUUAUGUAAAAUUCGCUGAAAAUAAUCGCAUAUUAAAAAUAUUCGCAUGGAAUUAACCCAUACAACGGAUUCUCAGCAAUUCAGCAUUAUCGGAAUAAAUAUUAAAUACACUGCCCGAAGAAUAAGACUUAAAUUAGAAGAAUGUAAUUUUGACAACUCCACACGAACCCUGACGCACGAGUUCAAGGUAACUGGAAUGUCUCUAAUCCAAUGGCCGGACCAACUGUCCCUCGAUUGAAGCACAACAGAAGAUGCACAAAUGUGACAGCCUUCUAUCACGGAAAUAUCUUCUAUUGAGAACAUCGUGAAGAUCAAAUGGGAGAACAAGGAGGACUAUAAGGUAUUCAUCAUCGUUGUUUCAUGACCUCCUCGAGUCACAUAUAGAAAGAGAUAACCCAUACAGAUCUUUUGGUACGCAAGGUUGAACGGAGCAGUACUACAUGUUAUUGAAGUCACGCACUUUUGCGGAAUGCCAAGUAUUAAAUUAUCGCCAACAUGGGAGGUCUCCGGUAGACUAGCUGUAACGGCCAUCUACUGUUGCAAUAAUUCGUUGUCCAGAACUGAUAUAAUAGGCCAAAGACACCUAGGCAUUGAAGACAAUUUUCUUAUUGAAAUAGGUCUACGUACACGUUCAUAAUGACCUGUGUUCUAAUUAUGUCACCGCUUUAAAACUAACUUCAACUCCGUGGAACAAAGUCUGAGGAUAAAAGUCGAUGGAACCAGAAAAUUCAUUACCGUACUCAUAAAAGCCACAUUAAUCCAAUGCACUAUGCACCACCGUAUUCCCUUAAGAUACAUUUUAAUAUUAUCCUCCCAAACGCGCUUGAUCUUCUAUGUGGCGUGUUUCCUUCAGGACAUUUAAACAAAACAUUGAGUAAUUUUUUAUCUUCCUCGUCCGUGCUACAUGCUCUGACCAGCUUUUUAACUCUAAAACACCCUUUUCUCUUGAUACGAAAUUCCAAAUAUUACACUCAUACAAAAGAAUAGGUUUGCCUAGCAUAUUAUAUUCUUUCCAUUUUGAAACAGCAAAUUGUAAGACAAAAUAUUCUGAACUCCACGGCAGCAAGCAUACCGCUAGAAUUUAAUUUCUUCGUCCUUUAAACCCUUCCUCUCUUCAGUUAUUUAGAAAUAUCAUUCGGAAAAUUCCUAAUUACGAAAUCAAUUUUAAAUUUCUCGCAUGGAAACCACCUGAGUUUUUGAGCCUCCAGUCCUGAAAAGCGUAUACUGUUAUGCCAAUGUUCACGUAAUUAAGAAUUUGGAUUCUGCAAAACGUUAAAAAUUGUACUUUCCGUUCCGUAAAUCUUCGGACAGUUUGCAUACUACAGAGUGGGUGGGAAGUAAGUAGGCAUUGAGAAAUGGUUAUAACCUCUAUAUUUCCAAUGCAAAGCGAUUAUUUAAUGCCUACUUACUUCCCACCCAUCCUGUAGAAUAAGCAUGGAAAAAUGGUCUUCAAAAAAGUUAUAAAAAUAUGAAUAAUGUAUAAGAAAUAGAGUGGAGAUCAAUAAA